Ornithorhynchus anatinus (platypus) is the source of this 1170-nucleotide long non-coding RNA. RefSeq lists it as uncharacterized. NCBI's taxonomy places the organism in Eukaryota, Metazoa, Chordata, Mammalia, Monotremata, Ornithorhynchidae. The record is from RefSeq and is a predicted model, not a curated record. The transcript is spliced from 3 exons.
UUAAAAACAAAUGAGAAAGCUUUCAGGAAAGAAGCAGAGCAAUGGUUAGUCGGGGGUGAAUCCAAACGAUUUAGCUUUCUCCUUUUCUUAAGGACUGAGAGAAGCAAGAGCAAAGAGUGAUGCCCAUUGGAUACUUAAUAUGGAGCUGAGAGGGAAGACCAGCAUUAAAUAGCUUUGAGUACGUACGGCUUCUUGGUUGCAAAGUAAGGCAGCAAAAACGUCCGGUGCCCCGUCUCCCCAGAAACGUCGGCGGCAAGUGUGGCUUUGGGCAGAGACGGCCUUGUCUAACUGCUGACUGGACUUCAGCUCCAGAUGGGACAAAAGAUGGGGGUCUCUGGCCAGAGGCCAGCUGGCUUCAAGACUACCAAUCGCCAUCGUUUGGCCCUGCCUGGGUCAAAGCAUUAAGAUCCAGAUGAAACAUGGAAAAGCCCCAACUUUUAAAGGAGCAACAAAGCAGAGUGCUAGUGAUUUCAUGAGGAUAUUAUUGUGUGCUUUCUUAACAAGCCUGACACUCGCCCGGCUGGAUGCUCACCCAAGUGACCAGUUGGGUUUGGAGAAAGGGAUACUGAAAAAGUAUGAAGCCUUUUUAAAUUGUACAAAUGCUAAGGGAUCCACCGCAGAGUGCCUGUUCACUGGGAACAGGACACACAUGAUACAACAAUCGCUGAUUAGCCUGUAGGUUUGCUGUGUUUUUGCCUCAUAAUCCCAUUUGCUCUAUUAGGGUGCAUAGAAUGAUUUUUUAAAGCCAUUUUAUAAACCAUUUAAAAUGCUUUAUAUAGUUGUAAAAUGAGAUGCAAUGACUUUUGAGAUGCCAGAGCUUAAACCUGAAAGGUACCUGACAUGAGAAAGGGUGGAGUACUCAUCAUUGUUCAUAGAGCUUAGAAAUAACAAUAAUCAUAAUAAUAGCAGUAAUAAUAGUUAAGCACUUUCUAUGUGUCAAACACUUUACUAAGUGGUAGGGUAGAUACAAGAUAAUCAGAUUGGUCAUUGUAUGAAACCAGACACAGCUGACAAAGUUGAGGUUCAGACCCACAUCUCUGGUUCAUAAUCACCUAUGUCUUUGAUGUGUGUAUAUUUGUUAGGGUCUGGUGAGCCCGUCCUAAUGUUUUUACGUCUCGUGAUUGACACUAUUUCCUUUAUCAACUUUGAACAAAAUAUCUACUGAUCAUU